This 494-nucleotide ribosomal RNA is filed under the name uncultured bacterium. Its description in RNAcentral is "partial 16S ribosomal RNA". It matches the Rfam family "Bacterial small subunit ribosomal RNA", at positions 28 to 507 of the family's 1533-position model. The record is from RNAcentral.
GACGAACGCUGGCGGCGUGCUUAACACAUGCAAGUCGAACGGUGAAGCGCCUUCCUUUUUGGUGGGUGUGGAUGAGUGGCGAACGGGUGAGUAACACGUGAGUAACCUGCCCCCUUCUUCUGGAUAACCGCAUGAAAGUGUGGCUAAUACGGGAUAUUCUGGGUCUGUCGCAUGAUGGGUCUGGGAAAGAUAUUGUUUCGGUGGGGGAGGGGCUCGCGGCCUAUCAGCUUGUGGGUGGGGGGAUGGCCUACCAAGGCGGUGACGGGUAGCCGGCCUGAGAGGGUGGACGGUCACACUGGGACUGAGACACGGCCCAGACUCCUACGGGAGGCAGCAGUGGGGAAUAUUGCACAAUGGGCGCAAGCCUGAUGCAGCGACGCCGCGUGAGGGAUGGAGGCCUUCGGGUUGUGAACCUCUUUCGCCAGUGAAGCAGGCCUGCCUCGUUUGUGGGUGGGUUGACGGUAGCUGGAUAAGAAGCGCCGGCUAACUACGUG